GACGAACGCUGGCGGCGUGGAUUAGGCAUGCAAGUCGAACGGUAUCAUCCUUUCGGGGGUGAGAGAGUGGCGAACUGGUGAGUAACACGUAGGUUAUCUACCCUCAAGACGGGGACAACCCAGGGAAACUUGGGCUAAUACCGGAUGUGAGCAACUUUUUAGUUGUUUGAAAGGUGGCGUAAGCUGUCGCUUGGGGAUGAGCCUGCGUCCUAUUAGUUAGUUGGUGAGGUAACGGCUCACCUAGGCAAUGAUAGGUAGGCGGCCUUAACGGGUGGUCGCCCACACUGGGAUUGAGAUACGGCCCAGACUCCUACGGGAGGCAGCAGUCGAGAAUAGUCUACAAUGGUCGGAAGACUGAUAGUGCGACGCCGCGUGAACGAUGAAUCCCUUCGGGGUGUAAAGUUCUUUUAUAUGUGAGCAGUGCUUCUUAUAUUAACAGUAUGGGGAGAGAGAUAUUAGCAUAUGAAUAAGCAACGGCUAACUCCGUGCCAGCAGCCGCGGUAAACU
This 507-nucleotide ribosomal RNA is filed under the name uncultured bacterium. RNAcentral describes it as "bacterial SSU rRNA". It matches the Rfam family "Bacterial small subunit ribosomal RNA", at positions 28 to 526 of the family's 1533-position model. The record is from RNAcentral.